GACGAACGCUGGCGGCGUGCUUAACACAUGCAAGUCGAACGGAAAGGCCCUGCUUUUGUGGGGUGCUCGAGUGGCGAACGGGUGAGUAACACGUGAGUAACCUGCCCUUGACUUUGGGAUAACUUCAGGAAACUGGGGCUAAUACCGGAUAGGAGCUCCUGCUGCAUGGUGGGGGUUGGAAAGUUUCGGCGGUUGGGGAUGGACUCGCGGCUUAUCAGCUUGUUGGUGGGGUAGUGGCUUACCAAGGCUUUGACGGGUAGCCGGCCUGAGAGGGUGACCGGCCACAUUGGGACCGAGAUACGGCCCAGACUCCUACGGGAGGCAGCAGUGGGGAAUAUUGCACAGUGGGCGGAAGCCUGAUGCAGCAACGCCGCGUGCGGGAUGACGGCCUUCGGGUUGUAAACCGCUUUCGCCUGUGACGAAGCGUGAGUGACGGUAAUGGGUAAAGAAGCACCGGCUAACUACGUG
RNAcentral lists this ribosomal RNA (468 nucleotides) under uncultured bacterium. Its description in RNAcentral is "partial 16S ribosomal RNA". It matches the Rfam family "Bacterial small subunit ribosomal RNA", at positions 28 to 507 of the family's 1533-position model. The record is from RNAcentral.